Molecule: ribosomal RNA, 509 nt
Filed under: uncultured bacterium
Lineage: Bacteria
Description: bacterial SSU rRNA
Rfam family: Bacterial small subunit ribosomal RNA
Source: RNAcentral
CUGGCUCAGGAUGAACGCUAGCGAUAGGCCUAACACAUGCAAGUCGAGGGGCAGCACAUGAGUAGCAAUACGAUGGUGGCGACCGGCGCACGGGUGAGUAACACGUAUGCAACCUACCUUUAACAGGGGAAUAACCCGUUGAAAAACGGACUAAUACUCCAUAACACAGGGGUCCCGCAUGGGAAUAUUUGUUAAAGAUUAAUCGGUUGAAGAUGGGCAUGCGUUCCAUUAGCUUGUUGGUGAGGUAACGGCUCACCAAGGCCACGAUGGAUAGGGGAACUGAGAGGUUUAUCCCCCACACUGGAACUGAGACACGGUCCAGACUCCUACGGGAGGCAGCAGUGAGGAAUAUUGGUCAAUGGAGGCAACUCUGAACCAGCCAAGUCGCGUGAAAGGAUGAAGGUCUUAUGGAUUGUAAACUUCUUUUGCAAGGGAAUAAAGUGGGGGACGUGUCCUCCUUUGCAUGUACCUUGCGAAUAAGGAUCGGCUAACUCCGUGCCAGCCGCUGC